Molecule: long non-coding RNA, 265 nt
Filed under: Ictidomys tridecemlineatus (thirteen-lined ground squirrel)
Lineage: Eukaryota; Metazoa; Chordata; Mammalia; Rodentia; Sciuridae
Description: lncRNA (ENSSTOG00000030236.1)
Source: RNAcentral
GGUGUUACAGUGUUUCCAGUAGAAUCAAUCCUAUUUUUUUAUUCCCCUAGGAAAUCACAAAUUGACGCAAAUAGCAAAAGUAGUCACCAAAAUCUGUGAACACAAGAUGAAUGAAAUUGAAGUAUGUCCAGAAUGUUAUCUAGCUGCUUGCCAAAAAUGAAAUAAGUGGUUUUGCGAGCCUUGUGUAAGUUGGAUUUACUUUCUUUAUUUCAUUUUCUGAACUCUGUCUUUGAUGAAAGCCUUCUCCAGGGGGCUUAGGAGACGA